RNAcentral lists this ribosomal RNA (1035 nucleotides) under Salmonella enterica. RNAcentral describes it as "bacterial SSU rRNA". It matches the Rfam family "Bacterial small subunit ribosomal RNA", at positions 1 to 1025 of the family's 1533-position model. The record is from RNAcentral. Lineage: Bacteria; Pseudomonadati; Pseudomonadota; Gammaproteobacteria; Enterobacterales; Enterobacteriaceae.
AAAUUGAAGAGUUUGAUCAUGGCUCAGAUUGAACGCUGGCGGCAGGCCUAACACAUGCAAGUCGAACGGUAACAGGAAGCAGCUUGCUGCUUUGCUGACGAGUGGCGGACGGGUGAGUAAUGUCUGGGAAACUGCCUGAUGGAGGGGGAUAACUACUGGAAACGGUGGCUAAUACCGCAUAACGUCGCAAGACCAAAGAGGGGGACCUUCGGGCCUCUUGCCAUCAGAUGUGCCCAGAUGGGAUUAGCUUGUUGGUGAGGUAACGGCUCACCAAGGCGACGAUCCCUAGCUGGUCUGAGAGGAUGACCAGCCACACUGGAACUGAGACACGGUCCAGACUCCUACGGGAGGCAGCAGUGGGGAAUAUUGCACAAUGGGCGCAAGCCUGAUGCAGCCAUGCCGCGUGUAUGAAGAAGGCCUUCGGGUUGUAAAGUACUUUCAGCGGGGAGGAAGGUGUUGUGGUUAAUAACCGCAGCAAUUGACGUUACCCGCAGAAGAAGCACCGGCUAACUCCGUGCCAGCAGCCGCGGUAAUACGGAGGGUGCAAGCGUUAAUCGGAAUUACUGGGCGUAAAGCGCACGCAGGCGGUCUGUCAAGUCGGAUGUGAAAUCCCCGGGCUCAACCUGGGAACUGCAUUCGAAACUGGCAGGCUUGAGUCUUGUAGAGGGGGGUAGAAUUCCAGGUGUAGCGGUGAAAUGCGUAGAGAUCUGGAGGAAUACCGGUGGCGAAGGCGGCCCCCUGGACAAAGACUGACGCUCAGGUGCGAAAGCGUGGGGAGCAAACAGGAUUAGAUACCCUGGUAGUCCACGCCGUAAACGAUGUCUACUUGGAGGUUGUGCCCUUGAGGCGUGGCUUCCGGAGCUAACGCGUUAAGUAGACCGCCUGGGGAGUACGGCCGCAAGGUUAAAACUCAAAUGAAUUGACGGGGGCCCGCACAAGCGGUGGAGCAUGUGGUUUAAUUCGAUGCAACGCGAAGAACCUUACCUGGUCUUGACAUCCACGGAAGUUUUCAGAGAUGAGAAUGUGCCUUCGGGA